CUUUCUUUCUUUUUUUUCUCCUUUUGCUAGUGAAGGAGAAUUGGAUUGGUUAUUUUCAGAACAGGCAGCCUAAAUUGAUGCACAAAUCAGUAGCAUCCUUUUUGGAGUGGCCAUCACAUGAAUUCUUUGGAGAUCUCUGAAGAAAACAGAAAGAAACUGAAAUGGCAUGAAUGAAUUAAUCGUGCCAGAUUCUCCAACACUUCCUCAGGAGACCCUAUUGCUCUGAUCAAGAAGUUCCAUCAGCACCGAAGAAAACAGCAGG
This 262-nucleotide long non-coding RNA is filed under the name Homo sapiens (human). RNAcentral describes it as "non-protein coding lnc-P2RY10-1:2". The record is from RNAcentral. Lineage: Eukaryota; Metazoa; Chordata; Mammalia; Primates; Hominidae.